Long non-coding RNA from Chinchilla lanigera (long-tailed chinchilla), 1132 nucleotides. RefSeq lists it as uncharacterized. The transcript has 2 exons. The record is from RefSeq and is a predicted model, not a curated record. Lineage: Eukaryota; Metazoa; Chordata; Mammalia; Rodentia; Chinchillidae.
AGAGCUCCCACAGCUUUGAAAGGCUCCGUUUCAAAACACACAGGCUGGGCGGUGCUCGGUGACCGUGAGCACCCCAGUGGCCAGCCGCUCAGGUGUGUCCAGGCCAAGAAGCGGACACCUCUUGCCUGGCAACAGCAGGGCAGGGCUUCAUGCCACCAAGAGGGGACCACAUUUCUCUGAAUUCCUGCUACUUGGUCCUUGUAGGAUGACUUCUGUUUGUAGGUGGUUUCUGAGUGGCUUUCUGAAUAAUGGGUAUUUCAGCCGGAAGCUCGCAAAUCUUACAUUGGCCAGAGUUAUAGGUCCUGUUUGUUGAGGCUUUGUGGAGAUUGCGGUCUCCCAGGAAGACCAGCUCUAACACUCUUGCAAAGUUUCCUUCCUCGUUGCUGAUACAGGAAGACGGGGGCGACCUGACCAGCCCUGUUGGGACCGUUACUAAGGGUGCCGCCAAGGCUGACCCAGCGCUCUGUAUUGGAACAGGGUUGUUCCCACAAUGGAUGUAAAUUCAUCAACCGCAUGGCCAGAAGACCCUGCAGAGAUGACACCAUGUUACUCCCAAGACCGGGUGACGGUAGAUAUGCCGGCUCCCCCUUGCUCUGUGGGUCACUCUUGCAGGGAGCCGACAGCUGCGCUGCCUGUUGCUCCGCAGCCUCUGGCAGGUCUGGGUGGGAGGGAGCUGGGCUUCCUGUGAGCAGGCAGUGCCCGGGCCAGCAUGUGCGUGCCAUCUCCGGGGAAGGCCCUCCAGCUGGGCAGACCUGGCCCAGAGCCGCACACAGCACCUGAUCAAUGCGCUCCUCAUCCUGAUCCACAGAAGCCGGGAGAAGCUUGGUCACUGUUGCCACUGCAAGCUGCUGCAUCUCUCGGUGACGUGCUGUGCAGGAUGGGCAGUGGACACCCUCUAGGCCCCAGACCCCGUGAGAGCAAGACCCCGUCCCCUCCCCUCGUGCUCCAUGGAACCUGGACCGCAUCACCACCAUCAUGCUUGUUUAAAUGCCCUCAGAUGAACCAAACUGGAGCUUCUCUUUGCCGGCAAUGAUGAACACCCACAAAUGCAGAUGUCUUUAUGUAACAGAUAGGAAUCUUAUCUUUCUGCUGCUGUAAAUGUCACUAAUAAAAAUAGUAUCAUUAACAGUCA